AAGAAGAUUAUAUAAGAAAUAUUUAGAUGUACGUUCGGAAACCCUGGUUGUACUGCGGGUUGUGUACUGCUCGGUCAAACUUCGGGGAUUUGUGACGCUGAGGGAACCUGUCAUUGCAGUGAGAGAUCCAUCAGUUUAAAGAACAUAAAAUCUCUGUUGCCAUCAAGAUGCAGUAUUGGAGAAUCUUUUUGCCAGGGUACAUGCAACUCUAUCGGAAGGAAGACCGGAGUCUGCUCCACUGUAGACGGAGACCUGGAUUGUAAAUGCUCCGACGAAUAUUUGUCUCCGAGUGAAUUUGCUCUCUGCGCCGCGGAGUCAACCUGUAGAAUUCAUUGUCAAGCCGGGGGCAAAGCUACAGGAGAGGUAGGUCAACACAUGAAUAAGUG
Long non-coding RNA from Eurytemora carolleeae, 386 nucleotides. RefSeq lists it as uncharacterized. The record is from RefSeq and is a predicted model, not a curated record. NCBI's taxonomy places the organism in Eukaryota, Metazoa, Arthropoda, Copepoda, Calanoida, Temoridae. The transcript has 3 exons.